UUUUCUCUAUUCGUAAAAUAUAUUUUGCCUUCUAAGUAUUAGUUUGUUUCAUAUUUUACAAUGGGCGUUUGAAGUAUGAUUUUCAUUGAACGUGCUUGUUCAAGGAAAGAAAUAAUCGAGCAAUUUUAUUGUAAUACAGCAUGAUGCAGCACUCCACAUUAAUAUGCUUGAUCCAUUAGAAGCUAGAAAACAGUUUACUUGUGGAUGAACACUCAACGACACGACGGGAUGUUUCGUUGGUUUAAAUCCUGAAAGUUUUGCAACGACUUUUUGAGAAACUAGAUCCCAUAUCCAUAAUUUUCCAUCUGCCGAUCCGGAGAGAAUCAUUAACAGGACCUGCAUGACCUCUUAAACGACGAACUGGAGUUCCAGUUGCCACAUCCCAAAGAAUGACUGACUUAUCUAAUCCGCAAGACACAAGUUGACUACUAUCACAGGAUGCACAAGCAUCCAUUACUUCGUC
Molecule: long non-coding RNA, 463 nt
Organism: Hylaeus volcanicus
Lineage: Eukaryota; Metazoa; Arthropoda; Insecta; Hymenoptera; Colletidae
Exons: 3
Source: RefSeq, a predicted model, not a curated record